Triticum aestivum (bread wheat) is the source of this 115-nucleotide non-coding RNA. NCBI's taxonomy places the organism in Eukaryota, Viridiplantae, Streptophyta, Magnoliopsida, Poales, Poaceae. The record is from Rfam.
GUUAUACUCCCUCCGUUCCGAAUUACUUGUCGCGGGUAUGAAUGUAUUUAGAUGUAUUUUAGUUCUAGAUACAUCCAUUUCUGCGAUAACUAAUUUGGAACGGAGGGAGUAGAAC